UUAAAAAAAGUCUAAGUUUGCUCUGAGCGCUUGUGUUGUUUACCAAGAAAAUGCAGCCCUGUUGGUUUUUAUUUCUGUAUCGCAUCGCGACUAUUAAUUACAAG
This is a long non-coding RNA of Rhagoletis zephyria (snowberry fruit fly), 104 nucleotides long. RefSeq lists it as uncharacterized. The record is from RefSeq and is a predicted model, not a curated record. NCBI's taxonomy places the organism in Eukaryota, Metazoa, Arthropoda, Insecta, Diptera, Tephritidae.